UGCUCGGCCCCAGGGGCGCUGCCCGCGCGCGCUCUGCGGUGCAGGAGCGGAGAGCAGCGCGGUUUCUCCCGCCGCUCCAUUUAAUGGCUCUCGGCGCACUUUCGCAUCCGAGCUCCUAACUGGCGAGAGGCUUGUGGGCGGAAAGGCCUGGCGUUCCAAGGCUGAGGGGAAGCCCUGGCCUGAGGGUGCCCAGCGGGGGGCGCUGUGCCGGCUGGCGGCAGCGCUCCCUCUGCCCAGGAUCCAGGGCUGUGUUCUUACUCUCGGGAGGAGACCUUUGUCAGGACCCUGGGCUUAUAACGGGCCGCGGAGUCAUCAGAGUCCAGGAUCAAGGCAAAAAUCAAGAAAACUGGCGAUAGCCAGGAUUCAUUGCAUGACAACAGCAUCUUAGAUGUCUGACCAAGCUUUAAGCCCUCCACAGCACCUGCUUCAGUCACCUUCAUGGCCAUUGGAAAAAAAUGUUCUCAUCUGCCCAUUCCUCUGGGGAAGUCUUCACGUGCUUGGGACAGACAUUGUGCAAUUCACAGACAGGUUUGAAGCCUGUCAAUUACUUUCAACCUGGUUUAGCCAUUUUCCUUGGGAUGUGGGCACUGCACCUGCUUCUUGGAGCCACAGGUACCCCAUAUCUAGAUCUCAUCAGGAGGGACACUGCCAUAUUAAAGAGAACUUGGAGGAUGGUGAGUAAAAUGAUAAGAAGAGUCUGGGAAUCAUGUCACACGAAGAAUGCCAGAAUGAGGUGGACUUCUUUAAUUUUGAGAAGGAUUAGGGGUCACAUAAAAGUUCUCUUCAGACACUUGAAUAAUUAAGACAAGGAAAAGGGAGUAAACUUAAAUCACUCUUUCUUUAGGGGGCAGAACUGAACAAAUGUAUGAGAAUUCUAGGGAGGCAGCUUGGGAUUGAAUAGUAAAAAUAACUUUAUAACAGUUAAAGUUCCUAAGAGUUAGAAUUUGCUGCUCCUCAGAGAAAUGUGUUCCCAGUCUCUGGAAAUGUUCAGAAAGAGGCUAAAUGACUUCUAUGUCAGGAAGAUUGUAGAAGGAAUUCUUACAUGGGUAAAAGAUUAGAUUGAAUGACUUUCAAAGUUGUGUGAAACAGGAUUCUAUGAUCUUUGGAGCAGCUUUGGGGUGGAUCGGUGAUUGGGAAAGUGUCAGAGUACUCUAAUUUCUUAUCCCAUCCUGUCAGUUAGAAUGUAGGAAAGUAGAGACGUGAAACUUCUGUAUAAGUCAAAUGAAUGCAUAAAGGAUAAGAAAGGAAAUAAUGUUUGGACCCACUCCUGAUACUUUCCCUUUUGUAUCUUUCUCCGCUUCUGAUUGUCAGCUCCACCUUCUUUCUCUGGCAGUUUACAAAGGACCUAGGAACAAUGACUGCCUAAGAGGGACAGCAAGUAAAGCCUAAAGCCAAGAUUUGGGAGUCAAAAAACCCUGGGGUCUGCUUCCCUUUCUGCCCACUACUUGUGUGACUAAUGAAUCAGCUUAUCUCCUAAGUUUUCUUACCUGUCAGGAGCACAUUUUGAUACAUUGUAUUUAUGUUGCCACUAUAGCCAUACAUGUACAUAUUAAUACAUUGUAAUUAUAAUCGUGUUCCAUUCCAUUAUCAUAUUAUAAUUUUUCAACUAUUCCCCAAUUGAUGGGCAUCUCUUCUAUUUCAAGUUCUUGGUGCUAUUUAAAAAGAGGUUUUCUACAGAAAAGAUCUUCUCUUUGAACUCUUUAAAAUAUGUCAAGGAGGGGCGAUGCUGGUUCAAAGCGUAUGUAUAGUCUAAUAAUUUUUUUCCCUAAAUCAUACUUUCCAGUGAUGUUCUAGAGUGGCUGCUACAUCCAGCUACAUCAGUGGUGCAUUCCUGUGCCUACUUUGCAAACCUUCCAGCAUUUCUCUUUCCUUUUCUGUCAACUUUGCCCGUUGCAUAAGUAGACAGUAAAACCAUAAAAUUGCUUUAAUUUUUUCUAAUGAAUAAUAUCUAGGAGUGUUUUUCACAAAACUAUUAAUAAAAUUACUCACUCAUAUCCUUUGACAAUUUAUCACUUGAGAAUGGCUUUUAACUAUAUAAAUUUGAAUGUUAGAAAUAAGAGCUAUCAGAAAAAUUUGAUAGGAUGAUUUCCUCAGUGUCUUUCUCCUCUUCCUAUUUUUAGCUGCAAUAAUUUCUUAACUAUGUGUAAUAAAAAAAAUGUCUACUUAACCUUCUGUGAUUCUCUCUAUUCCUUGUUAAGUCAGGAACUCAUCCCCUUUCCAUAGGUCAGAAAGGUAAUUUCUUCCUUCCUCAGUUCAUUCUUUUUAUUUAUUCCAUAGAGUCAUCUGGAGCUUGUCCUAUUAUGCGAUAUGAGGCAUUGGUCCAGACCUAAUUUCUGCCAGACUGCUUCCCAGUGUUUGCUGAAAACUUAAUUCUUAUUCCAGUAGCUGCUGUCCUUAGGUUUGUUCGUUGUUUCUCUAUGAUUGUACCUAAUCUCUGCCUCUGACAGAACCAGUAAAAAAAAGUCACUUUUUAUGUUUAUUAUUUUUAUUUUUUCAAUAGUAUUUUAUUUUUCCAAAUAUAUGUAAAGAUAGUUUUCAACAUACAUUUUGGGAAAACUUUGUGUUCCAAACUUUUCUUCCUCCCUCCAUAACUUCGCCCUAUCCCCCAAAAUCUGAUCUAGAUUAAAUCUGGGAAAUGCUUUUAAGCAUAUUUCCAUAUUUGUCAUGUUGUGCAAGAAAAAUCAGAUCAAAUGAGAAAAAAGCCACAAGAAACAAAAAGAAGCACACAAAUCACAAAAACAAAAAAAAAGAGAACACUAUGAUUCAAUCCACAAUCAGUCUCCCUAGUUUUAUCUCUCAGUGCAUGGCAUUUUCCAUCCGAAGUCUUUUAGAAUUGACUUGAAUCACUACUUUAGUGAAAAGAACCAGGUUUAUCAGUUAAUCAUCACAGAAUCUUGUUGUUUAUGUGUACAAUGUUCUUUUGGCUCUGUUCACUUUACUCAGCAUCAGUUCAUGUGAGUCUUUCCAACUUUCCUGAAAGCAACCUGCUCAUCAUUUCUUAUACAGCUAUAAUAUUAUAUUCAUAUACCAUAACUUAUUCAACCAUUUUUCAAGUGAUGGGCAUCCACCCAAUUUUCAGUUACUUGCCACUACAAAAAGGGUUGCUACAAACGUAAUUUCAUAAUUUUCUCUAGUUCUAGUUCUCUAGUUUAACAAUUAAUUUUUGCCCUGGAUCAGUCCAUUUUGAAAGCACUAAGAGCUUGCAAGACUCUAUCUUGAGUUGACCCUCUCUUGAGUUAUCUGGAAUUAAAACAGCUGAGUUCCAGCAAGACAAUCUCUGACCUAAUAUCCAGAAAUGUAUAGAGCCCAACAAAAAGAACAUCGAAUUAGUUCUCUCUUUCUCACCUUUAUGUUCACUCUUUAAAAAAUGAUUUAUUGAUUAGUACACACACAGAGCUAUGCAGUGACUCAGAAUA
Molecule: long non-coding RNA, 3416 nt
Organism: Antechinus flavipes (yellow-footed antechinus)
Lineage: Eukaryota; Metazoa; Chordata; Mammalia; Dasyuromorphia; Dasyuridae
Exons: 3
Source: RefSeq, a predicted model, not a curated record